UACGUAGGGUGCGAGCGUUAAUCGGAAUUACUGGGCGUAAAGUGUGCGCAGGCGGCAGAGCAAGUCGAGUGUGAAAGCCCCGGGCUUAACUUGGGAAUUGCGCUCGAAACUACUUUGCUGGAGUGUGGCAGAGGAAGGUGGAAUUCCACGUGUAGCGGUGAAAUGCGCAGAGAUGUGGAGGAACACCAAUGGCGAAGGCAGCCUUCUGGGCCAACACUGACGCUCAUGCACGAAAGCGUGGGGAGCAAACAGG
Molecule: ribosomal RNA, 253 nt
Filed under: uncultured bacterium
Lineage: Bacteria
Description: partial 16S ribosomal RNA
Rfam family: Bacterial small subunit ribosomal RNA
Source: RNAcentral